AGUUAUUAAUGGGCUAUGGAAUCUGGGAUAUUCCUUAUUGAUUUUUUCCAUCUGUAGGAUCAAGUGUCUAAUACCGUAUUCAGUGUAACAGCAGCACAGCACCAGCAGAGGGAUAACUGUGACACACACUUUAACCAGAAGUGUGACUGUGUGUUUUGAGGGAAGUGGACUUGAUCAGGAGCGUCCAGGCUCUUCUGGAGAGAACUACAGCUCAGGUUGUCAGUCAGUCAGUCAGUCAGUCAUUAUUAAUCGCACCACUUCAGAAGACUGAAUGAUAAUCCUUUGAACUGUGUGUGUGUCAGCAUGAACAGAGAGGCCAAGCAGACGUUAGAGUCGGACUACAACUUUGAUGACCACAGUGGGAGAUACAAUAACAUGAGCCCAGAUACACAGCACCACCCCAGCUCAGCCACCAUGCAGGACCAGUGAGUGUGAAUAUCAUCUGAAUAUUACUGGAAUAUAUUGUCAUGCUCUAAUUUAUAAGAUGAAUCAAUGUUUAUUUCAAUUCUGUCAUGGUGGGCCACAGAGCCCCCCCGGUCCUUGUAUGCUUCUGUGUACCUGUCUCUCCUCGUGUGUUCUAGCUGUCCUCUGUCUGUCCUGGUGUGUGUGUGUGUGGGGGUGUGUGUCUGUGCUCUGGGCUGGCUUCCUGAUCUCCCGUCUGCGACUGAUUACCGGCACACCUGUCUUCAAUCAUCGCUGAUCGGCACGGUUCAUAUACCAGGCACCUUCACACCACCGAUGCCAGAUCGUCCCUAGUACAUCCACUCUCGCUCUGCCAGUGAUCACCGCCUCAGUUUGCCCGUCGGAUCAUCCGGACCUCAACUACCACGCCACUUUCGCCAUCCGGCCGAUCUUCGCCUCCGGACACUACUGGCUAUUCACACCCCUCGCCCGGCUUCAGUGAUCCUCCGCCUGGUCGGCUCAGCCUUCCCGUUCCGCUCGCCAGUCCGGAGCCAGCUCGCCUAGUCUCCGUCCGGAGUGUCGUUAGUCACGCCUCCGACUCGGUUCAGUCGGAUCCUCAGGGAGUCCACGGGUGACUCCGGAUCUAGCAUUCAUUCACACUUGCAAUAAUAUGCACAAUAAAAACCGUCCUAGGCCUAUUAAUCCA
Long non-coding RNA from Siniperca chuatsi (mandarin fish), 1108 nucleotides. RefSeq lists it as uncharacterized. The record is from RefSeq and is a predicted model, not a curated record. Lineage: Eukaryota; Metazoa; Chordata; Actinopteri; Centrarchiformes; Sinipercidae. The transcript has 3 exons.